Non-coding RNA from Ictidomys tridecemlineatus (thirteen-lined ground squirrel), 510 nucleotides. The record is from RefSeq and is a predicted model, not a curated record. Lineage: Eukaryota; Metazoa; Chordata; Mammalia; Rodentia; Sciuridae.
GCAGCAGCAAGCGCAGACAGAGCUCCAGAGGUCACAUUGAGUGGUUGACCUACACCAUCUAGGUGUGUGCAUUUGUCCUCUGUCGCUGGCUAACAUGAGUUUCUCAGAGCCUUUACCAUCAUUCAGUAAUGUGUGACUGGACAGUGUAGUCUAAACUACAAACAUACUUGAAGCUGGGGAGCAUAAAAGCUCCCCCACGGAGGCCUCUGCACACCACGGGGAGCAGUCUUUGGAGCAGGAUGCAUCAAGGAAAGGAGCAUAUCCUAGUGCAAGACAGCUCCCUGCAGCUGGAGGUGGUGCUGAGAGAAAGACUCAGCUGCUGUCCCCUGAUCAGCAUCCUCGGAACUCCACAGUGUUGGGGGAUCUGGAUGGCAUAUUGCAACACCCGCUCCACCAUGGCUAACAAAUCCUGAAUGCUGCCACACUUUAAGAGGUCAUGGAUGACCUCCUGAUCCUUCUGCCUGUCACUUACAGUAUGACAAUUAAAACAGAGCACAGAAUACAAAAACA